RNAcentral lists this ribosomal RNA (497 nucleotides) under uncultured bacterium. RNAcentral describes it as "partial 16S ribosomal RNA". It matches the Rfam family "Bacterial small subunit ribosomal RNA", at positions 28 to 507 of the family's 1533-position model. The record is from RNAcentral.
GACGAACGCUGGCGGCGUGCCUAAUACAUGCAAGUUGAGCGAUGAAGAUUGGUGCUUGCACCAAUUUGAAGAGCAGCGAACGGGUGAGUAACGCGUGGGGAAUCUGCCUUUGAGCGGGGGACAACAUUUGGAAACGAAUGCUAAUACCGCAUAACAACUUUAAACAUAAGUUUUAAGUUUGAAAGAUGCAAUUGCAUCACUCAAAGAUGAUCCCGCGUUGUAUUAGCUAGUUGGUGAGGUAAAGGCUCACCAAGGCGAUGAUACAUAGCCGACCUGAGAGGGUGAGCGGCCACAUUGGGACUGAGACACGGCCCAAACUCCUACGGGAGGCAGCAGUAGGGAAUCUUCGGCAAUGGACGAAAGUCUGACCGAGCAACGCCGCGUGAGUGAAGAAGGUUUUCGGAUCGUAAAACUCUGUUGGUAGAGAAGAACGUUGGUGAGAGUGGAAAGCUCAUCAAGUGACGGUAACUACCCAGAAAGGGACGGCUAACUACGUG